This 376-nucleotide ribosomal RNA is filed under the name uncultured bacterium. Its description in RNAcentral is "bacterial SSU rRNA". It matches the Rfam family "Bacterial small subunit ribosomal RNA", at positions 524 to 898 of the family's 1533-position model. The record is from RNAcentral.
UACGUAGGGGGCAAGCGUUGUCCGGAAUCAUUGGGCGUAAAGAGCGCGUAGGCGGUCCGGUAAGUCCGCUCUGAAAGCCCGGGGCUCAACCCCGGGAGGCGGGCGGAUACUGUCGGGCUAGAGUCCGGAAGAGGCGAGUGGAAUUCCUGGUGUAGCGGUGAAAUGCGCAGAUAUCAGGAGGAACACCGAUGGCGAAGGCAGCUCGCUGGGACGGUACUGACGCUGAGGCGCGAAAGCGUGGGGAGCAAACAGGAUUAGAUACCCUGGUAGUCCACGCCGUAAACGAUGGGCACUAGGUGUGGGAGGUGUCGACUCCUCCCGUGCCGCAGCUAACGCAUUAAGUGCCCCGCCUGGGGAGUACGGCCGCAAGGCUAAA